GCCUAAGCUUAAAUUUUUAUUACAGAAUUUAAAGAAAAUUUUCAAUAUAAAAAGUACUUUAUAAAAAAUAACUUACCCUAACCAACCGCAAGGACCAACAUUCAGCUUUUUAAAGAAAUGAUAAUCCCAUGUCCCUCUUGCAUCAUGGAGAAGCAACAAAUAUAUAGUAAACUACAUUCCCGAAUGAUUAUGAGCUACUAACCCUUAAAAAUCAAUGUCUCAUAAUUGAUAAAGUAACUUUUAGUAGAAGUAACAAGCCUUUCAUAUAAUCAUAUAGCUGGUUUUUCUUUAAAUGCAUCAAAGUGCUGGUUUAUAGUACAAAUUCACUUAGCCUAAACUAUAAAACCCAGCCUAUUGAGGAUUAGCUCAAUAGGCCCUUAAAAAUACUCUAUUACUUAACCUCACCAGUAGGCUUAAAAGCAGCCAUCCAACAACGUUUUAGUCACUGAGACCCCCUAUUAAAUAUUAAUAUAUCUUUAUUUUAAACUUAAAGAAAUUUAGCAAAAAACUUUUUUGCUAUUAAACAGGCAUUCUAUUAGUAUUUAACGUAAAUUAUUACUUAAUAUUUCUUAAAAAAUCUAAACCAAAAUAUUUAUUUACCCAUUAAAAUACACAAAGCGAACUCGGCAAAUCAAUUCCCUGCCUGUUUACCAAAAACAUCGUCUUUUGAAAAUAUCUGAUAAAAGAUAAUGCCUGCCCAGUGAAAUUUUAAACGGCCGCGUUAGCGUGAGCGUGCUAAGGUAGCGUAAUAAUUAGCCUCUUAAUUGGAGGCCAGUGAAUGGCAAGACUAGGAACACCUUUACUUUGUGUAUAGAAAAAACUUUUCAUCUAAGUGAAAAGACUUAGAUAAUAAAGGUAGACGAAAAGACCCCGCGGAACUUUACCUUUUCCUGUACUCUCGUACAUUCACUUAAAAGUACUUAAGGUUUGAUUGGGGCAAUCUUGGAACCAACAAAGCUUCCAAUUUCUUAAAAAAAUCUAUUCAAAGUUUGUUAAAAACCAAAAAGAAGUUACCCCGGGGAUAACAGCGUAAUCUAACUUAAGAGUACAUAUCGAAAGUUAGGUUUGCGACCUCGAUGUUGGCUUAAGGAUAUCCACAUUAGUGCAACCGCUAUGACAGGAUAGUCUGUUCGACUAUUAUACCCUUACACGAGCUGAGUUAAGACCGGCGCAAGCUAGGUUGGUUUCUAUCUCCUUUAAUUAAAAAUCUUCUUGAUUGUACGAAAGGACCCCAAGAGAUGCAUCCCAAAAAAGCAUUUUUAUUAAAUAAUUUUACCUUUAC
RNAcentral lists this ribosomal RNA (1282 nucleotides) under Pseudanodonta complanata. RNAcentral's name for it is "16S ribosomal RNA". The stretch from base 851 to 1199 matches the Rfam family "Archaeal large subunit ribosomal RNA", at positions 2148 to 2718 of the family's 2987-position model. Lineage: Eukaryota; Metazoa; Mollusca; Bivalvia; Unionida; Unionidae. The record is from RNAcentral.